UGCACAACCUUAAACUUUGGUGGAAGAUUACAUUUUCCACUCGCCCGGGGACUACGAGCAUAAGCUUAAAACCUAAAGGACUUGGCGGUGCUUUAGACCCACCUAGAGGAGCCUGUUCUAUAACCGAUAACCCCCGUUAAACCUCACCUUCUCUUGUUAUUUCCGCCUAUAUACCGCCGUCGUCAGCUUACCCUGUGAAGGCUAUCCAGUAAGCAAAAUUGAUUUUAUCCAAAACGCCAGGUCGAGGUGUAGCAGAUGAGAAGGAAAGAAAUGGGCUACAUUUUCUAGUUUAGAAAAUAACGGAAAUUACCAUGAAACAGUACAUUAAAGGAGGAUUUAGCAGUAAGAGGAGAAUAGAGAGCUCCACUGAAACUGGCCCUGAAGC
Molecule: ribosomal RNA, 385 nt
Filed under: Aphyosemion exigoideum (false jewel killifish)
Lineage: Eukaryota; Metazoa; Chordata; Actinopteri; Cyprinodontiformes; Nothobranchiidae
Description: partial 12S rRNA
Rfam family: Bacterial small subunit ribosomal RNA
Source: RNAcentral